ACACGACUACAUUAGAUACCCCGGUAGUCCCAGCCGUAAACGAUGCGCGUUAGGUGUAUCGGUGACCACGAGUCACCGAGGUGCCGAAGGGAAACCGUGAAACGUGCCGCCUGGGAAGUACGGUCGCAAGGCUGAAACUUAAAGGAAUUGGCGGGGGAGCACCGCAACGGGAGGAGCGUGCGGUUCAAUUGGAUUCAACGCCGGACAACUCACCAGGGGCGACGGUUACAUGAAGGCCAGGCUGAUGACCUUGCCUGAUUUUCCG
Molecule: ribosomal RNA, 265 nt
Filed under: uncultured archaeon
Lineage: Archaea
Description: partial 16S ribosomal RNA
Rfam family: Archaeal small subunit ribosomal RNA
Source: RNAcentral